AGCUCCGAAAUAAAGAAAAGAAAAAAAAAAAAAAAAAAGGAAAAAAAAAAACAAAAAAAACCCCAGCGUGGUUGGCAGAGGUCAGGGUGAGAAGGGAUGAAUAGGUGUGGCACUAUAUGUGGGGCGUGUGGGAGUGACCUAGCGGAGGGAAAAGUGGGAUGGAGAGCUAAGCACCAUGCCUCCUGCUCCUGCGCCUGCUCCUGGGCCUGCGGGAGGAAUCCUAAUCCAGCUGCACUCCAGCUGCACACAGCCUUAUCUAAAGCGGCUCCUGGCAGAACCCGCAAACCGAUGAGACAGAACAAUGGACCAGAGCCCAGGGCUGUAGCAGUUUCCACUUCCUGUCUUCACAGAAAUCCCCCUCCUCCCACCUCCGGGCGAUCCAUUCUCUCCCCUACAGAAUUCCCUAUAGAGCAAAUUAGAUCCAACAGGACAUCGGAUGUAAUCUCCCCUACCUUUGCCCCUUGGUUAUGUAACCUCAACUCUUAUUGGCUGAAGAGUUGUAUGUAAGUUUUUGUACGGCUAGAUUUGUACUCCUAUGCUAGUCUCCCGAGUC
This 553-nucleotide long non-coding RNA is filed under the name Rattus norvegicus (Norway rat). RNAcentral describes it as "long non-coding RNA NONRATT008317". The record is from RNAcentral. Lineage: Eukaryota; Metazoa; Chordata; Mammalia; Rodentia; Muridae.